UGGAGAGGUCUAAAUAAUGUUUAGGUAAAAUGUAUUUUCAUACUAUCAAAGCAGAAAGCUAUCUGUGUAGAACUAAGCUUGGUCCUGGUAUUUAAGUCCUGAAACCAAUAGCAUGUUUCUAAGAAUCUCCCUGUUCUUCCCCCUCAGUCCCAUGGUUUCUGGGAAUGCUUAUUCCCUUCUUCAUGUUCUUUCCAUAGAGGUGAGAACCCUGUGGAGAGCAGUCAGUUCCAUGGCUCAAAAGAAGUCUCAGCCACCAGCCCCUAAUUGCUAGCUCCUUGCAGUUCAUAGGGAGUUCUCUGAUUUAGUCUCAUUUUGACAGCAUGGAAUGUCCUCUUGAAGAACAAGGUUUAUAUAUUUUUUUCCUUCUUCUAUCCCUCCCUCCUUCUGACUUGAUAAAAAUCUCUUCUGCUAUCAGAAUGUUUCAUGGUGGCAGCUGUGUGUGCAGGAUACGUGCAUGCACACAAAACCUCUGACAGUCUUGGAGUCUGGGUGGCACCCUAGCCUUGGGACCAAUGGCGUCACCACAGUAAGGACAAGCCUCAAGAAGAAGCAACACAAUUUAGUUUCCUGAGCUUGGUCCAGGAUUGUCGGCCAAGAGCUGGCAUAAAGCAGUCCAGGGCAGCAAGACUGUCCUAAAGAAGUGUAUACACUAACAAGUUAUCUGAGAGUGCAGCGUGGUCAUCAUAGCUGGCACGAGGACUGGUCAGAAAAGGAGAGGUGCUAGGAGGCAAAAACAGUGGUGUUUCUCCUUCCCUCUUCCCCUUCAGCACGGUCCAGCUAUUCAGUGCUCGUUCAACCCUCAUGGCUGAGACAAAACAAAGCCAAGGAGGCAGAAAGAGUGCUCCAAGAAUCAGCGCUGUCAACCUUUAACUCCUGAAGAUGCAGAUUCAAAAUCAUUCUGUGAACACCUGGCCACCACUGAGGGAAACCAGUGCUGUGGUAUUUGAUGCACAGCUCGCCUUGCGCUCCUUAACUCUGCCGUGCGAGGUGCAAGGUGGGUGCCUAGGAGAACCUGGGUGGGCACAGGGCUGGGCACAGGGCAGGUGGAGAUGACCAACACAAUGCGUGGGUGGAUGGGGGCACACACUGGGGACCCGAGGAAGGCACUGGCUUCUGCAAUGUUUCUUCUGCCUCUUACAGGAGAACUUGAGUCUCUGUUCUUUUUUAGUAUCCAUCUUCUGUUAUCGUAAAUCCUGUAUCCAUGGCUUUAAUAGACAUUCUAAAAGUUGCUGCACUGACAGUCUUAAUAAUAUUUCUAUCCCUCUCCCUCUCAAUACUCUUUGAAGACCUCCUGAUUGGCCCUGAGGAAGUAUCCAGGGUAACAGUAUUCCUGGGUCCCUGUCCCUCAGCCCAUAGGCCACUGUGAUAAUUGUCUGCUCAGCAUUUCCAUAUUUAUUGUACCAAUGAUUGUAAUGAAAAUAUACACUGAAAGUUUAAGAGAUUAUAAUAAAAACGUUUUUCACAUC
Molecule: long non-coding RNA, 1466 nt
Filed under: Mus musculus (house mouse)
Lineage: Eukaryota; Metazoa; Chordata; Mammalia; Rodentia; Muridae
Description: long non-coding RNA chr9:66765378-66766844
Source: RNAcentral